GCCUCUUUAGUAUAAAGGUUUAUUAUUUCUGUUUUGUAGUCAGAAGAUGUGGGUUCAAUUCCUACAAGAGGCU
Molecule: transfer RNA, 73 nt
Filed under: Crassvirales sp.
Lineage: Duplodnaviria; Heunggongvirae; Uroviricota; Caudoviricetes; Crassvirales
Description: tRNA-Thr
Rfam family: tRNA
About the family: Transfer RNA (tRNA) molecules are approximately 80 nucleotides in length.
Source: RNAcentral